Long non-coding RNA from Vicia villosa (hairy vetch), 1128 nucleotides. RefSeq lists it as uncharacterized. The transcript has 3 exons. The record is from RefSeq and is a predicted model, not a curated record. NCBI's taxonomy places the organism in Eukaryota, Viridiplantae, Streptophyta, Magnoliopsida, Fabales, Fabaceae.
UUUCAAGUUAGGAAGGGAAUUAGGGUUACAUGUUAUGACCAUUGGAGUUCACGUUCCUCUUCUCCUCAAACUCAUUUUCAAACAUGACGGCGCCGAUAAUGCAUCUCCGGCGGGAAUUUCUCCAUUUCUCCGUCCUCGAUUCCGCCUUGUUAAUCUCCAUCCGUCUCCUCCGAUUCAUCAUCUCUGUGUUCUCGCGUGGUUCUCGAUCUCUCUCUGCUCACUUCUUUUUCAAGUUUUAUGUCAUCAUUGAAGAAGAUGAUUGAUGUGAUGUUGCCACUGGUUGUUGAUUUUGACGCAGGGAGGUCGCGACACUGUGAAUCGUCGCAUUCUGAUGUUUGAACGCUGCUUCGGUGAUGCCGUUUCCGAUUGAUGCAAAAUUGGUAGUUGAAGAUGUUGAACGUAGUGGAGAUCGAUGUCGCGUCAAAGUUUCUUGAAGAUGAGGUUCUGAGAUUGACAAGAGUUUCGAUUGUCGAAGAAUCUGGUGAAGGAAAUCUGAUGAUUGAAGGUGAUGUUGGAGAUCGGAGAAGAGGUAGUCGGAGAUGUUGCGAUUUCAUUUUCAGAUCGAAGCUUGCGAAGUUGUGGCGAUGAUGAUGAUGUCAACGCGUGGAUGAAGAUUGUUGCAGAGAUAUUGAAUCGAGAGAGAAAGAUGAAGAUUGAUUUUGAUUAGUUAUGGCGGUGAUCGAAUUGAAGAUGAAUAUGCGAUGAAGGUGAUGAGAAAGAAGAUAUGAGAAAAGUUUGUUACAUUUCGGUUAGAGAAUGAAGAUGAUGAAGAUGAUAGAAAGAUAUGAAGAGCGUGAUUGUGGUGGUGAUGAAAUGGAAGCGUGAAGAUGAAGGAUUGUUGAAGACGAUGAAGAAAACCUCGCGAGUGCAAAAGUUUGUUACAAGGUGCAAGGUUCGGUUUAUUGGAGCAUGUGUACGAACCGCUUCUUUUGGCUCUGAUAGCAGUAGAAGUUCUGGAAGUCUUGGAAGUUCUUUGAUCCUUGCAAGUAGCCAUUUUCUUUUCUUUUUUUGGAAUAAACUGAUGUGUCUUUUGUAAUUUGGUGGCCAUUUCUAUCUUGUAAGAAGUAUUGAAUGGAUUUUGGUAUGGAUAUGAUAUGGAUUUAAACAUGGAGAAAUUAGCUUUUUGUA